RNAcentral lists this unclassified non-coding RNA (1012 nucleotides) under Caenorhabditis elegans. Its description in RNAcentral is "Non-coding transcript of protein-coding gene D1022.9b". Lineage: Eukaryota; Metazoa; Nematoda; Chromadorea; Rhabditida; Rhabditidae. The record is from RNAcentral.
UUUGGCUGAAACAUUCUGUGCAAACAACGAAUUCAGACCAGAAGAUUCAUUUACCACGACUUCAAAAGAAUAUCGAAGAGUUCAGGAUCUCAAUUAUAAAGAUUCAAUAAGUGCACCAUGCUAUGUUAGCUUCUUCUCAAGCUCAAUGCCAACUCCGUUGCACGUGAAAAAAAUUUCAGACUGUUCUUUGAAUUUCAAGGGACAAGUGAAGUUUGGAGCUGUUGAAGGAACUGUUCCAAAAACUUUAAAAGAUAAUAGAUGCUACUUUCAACAUAAUUGGAUUGUUUGUGUUUGUAAUUUCACUUAUUGCAAUUCUCCACAAUAUUGGCCUUUGAUGCUGGCAAGAUUUUCGCACGAAAAACCAUAUGUUGCUCGAACUCCUGCAGCUAUUGCUGACGCUGAAAUGUUCAUUAAUCAGCAUAAGUUGUCAGUCAAAAUCGACAAGGCCACUAACAAUAAUUACGAAGAUAAUUUGCGUUGUUUGGUCUUAAUGUCGGAUGACCUUUAUCAAGAAGAGGAAAAUCCAAAUUUCUACCUUUACAACUACAUCACAGUUUUUCAUAAUGCGCCACCACUUGCUGAUGCUCUGACAACACCACCAGUUCUCAGAAAGAAUGAAGAUUGGGGAAGACGAGAUGAAUGGGUACAUACUGCCAUCAUUACUGAAGAUGGGGAACCAUUCGCAGAUGGAACACAUGUAAUUGAUAAAGGCUACACGACACAUCAAUUUGAAAUUCAACAAGAUCAGGAUAAUGCUAAAUUUGGAAUGAUCAGUGGAAUCAUCGGUUUUAUCAUGCUUGCCGCAUUCCUCGGUGGAACUAUCAUUGUUCUGCUUUUAAUCUGUCGCAGAGUCAAAGAUCAUUCACAAUUUCCGAGAAGAGAUGAGAAAUUAGUUUGGAAUCGAUAUGAACGUUCGAAUGAUGCACCACGACAACCAAAGGAGUUUCUGAAGAAGAGAGGAGGAAAGAAAUCGAAGAAUGACGAUGCAGAAGCAGCCCUUAACAGAAAAUAG